AACAUCUUUCCGCUCCACUUUUUCCUCCCUUUGUAAAACUACUCAUUCUUUAUAUUUGUAGUUUAUAACGUCUUCUUUUCAUCUCCACUUCUUUCUCCAACUCGCGAGACCUAAAAUACUUCUUUUGGUCUGCAAUAUCUCAAUUAUGAGUUACCACAUAAAGAAAUCAAAAAGUAAUUCAGUUUGCCCAUCUUGAAUGAUACGAUUUUAGUCUGAUAAGAUGAUUCAUCUGCAGGAUAAUAGAAAUGUGGAGGAUUUGGUUAUCAAAUGCUUAUUGGACUGUUUCCAAAGCCCCACAGGUAAAUAUUUUUCAUUACCUAAUUAUUGAAAAUUAUUUGCUUCAUAUUUGCGCAUAUGCUGUAAAAUUUGAUUUGACAGUUUAACUGAAAACGAGAAGGACGAUGAAGAUCCAUGUAGUACUCUUUCUCGGUCCCGUAAUCCAAAAUAUUUUCACAGGUACUCCAAUAGUAACUUUUUUCUAUACUUUCUAUUUUACCGCCACUAUUUACCAGUGCUAUAUUUGGAAAAUUGAGUGCUUUCAGUUAACAUUUGACAGAAUCAGUUAUUUUUAUUUUGCAAACAUGGAAGAACUUUAAAUUUCAUUGUUCGUCCAAUUUAUUUAUGUUAUAAUCACAAGAUUCAUGUCAAGAAUUAGUUGUUCCAUAAUUGAGGAUCAAAUGUUCCCACCAAUUAAAGAGAAAGAAAAUAAAAACAUAGAAAGUAGCGUUUGCCCUUUGGCUACAUUUUCUGGUGUUGAAAAUUUGUCGAACUAGGGUGUUCAAACCUGUGGGAUAAAAAGGUGACACUUUGCACAUUCUCUUCUUUGAGGAUUUCCUUCGUAGGCCUUUUCACAUCUCGCCUACAAGUGUAAUUUUUCGUAUGCUGAAGCUGAAAUUUCAGAACUCUUUUAAUUAUUUAUUGUUUAGUGUAUUUUAUUUUCCUUUAUUGGGAUCAAAGCAAUUUUUCCACUAAUAAGGAGAUAGAAUUUUGGUAGUAAGUUUAAAUGCGACGGUGAGAUUAUUUUUAUUAUUUCAAAGUUGUUUAAUAUAAAAUUGGUAUCUGCUGG
This 1066-nucleotide long non-coding RNA is filed under the name Nicotiana tabacum (common tobacco). Its description in RNAcentral is "long non-coding RNA (NTAB_LNC013451)". Lineage: Eukaryota; Viridiplantae; Streptophyta; Magnoliopsida; Solanales; Solanaceae. The record is from RNAcentral.